CCAAUAUUAUAAAAGCCCCCACAAUUAAGCACCAAAGAGUUUUGGUACAUUAACUUGGGAGGAAACAGAGACACUUGUUAACUGUAAUGGGUUGGCAUUGGUCACGCUGAUCCAAUGUUUCAAAUGGGUAAGUGAAUGUUGAUUGCCGACGUGACUGAAGACCCAAGGCCCAACGACCUACU
Molecule: non-coding RNA, 182 nt
Organism: Arabidopsis thaliana (thale cress)
Lineage: Eukaryota; Viridiplantae; Streptophyta; Magnoliopsida; Brassicales; Brassicaceae
Source: RefSeq